AAAGAAUGGGUAGCCCCAGGGUCUAACAAAACUCUAGCCUCAGAAUGACAAACAAGAAUAGUACCUGACACCACAGCAUUUGAGGCUCGCGCAUCUUGAGGAGUGAGGGUGAACACUCUAGCUUGCCCCCGGCCUGACUGUUGAGACCCUGAAGCUCGACCUUGAACCUUGCCCCCAGACCGGCCUCCUGAAGAUCUACCUCCAAAACUACGGCCCUGC
Molecule: long non-coding RNA, 219 nt
Filed under: Ricinus communis (castor bean)
Lineage: Eukaryota; Viridiplantae; Streptophyta; Magnoliopsida; Malpighiales; Euphorbiaceae
Description: long non-coding RNA (RCOM_LNC001229)
Source: RNAcentral